Molecule: transfer RNA, 73 nt
Filed under: Ovis aries (sheep)
Lineage: Eukaryota; Metazoa; Chordata; Mammalia; Artiodactyla; Bovidae
Rfam family: tRNA
About the family: Transfer RNA (tRNA) molecules are approximately 80 nucleotides in length. Their secondary structure includes four short double-helical elements and three loops (D, anti-codon, and T loops). Further hydrogen bonds mediate the characteristic L-shaped molecular structure. tRNAs have two regions of fundamental functional importance: the anti-codon, which is responsible for specific mRNA codon recognition, and the 3' end, to which the tRNAs corresponding amino acid is attached (by aminoacyl-tRNA synthetases). tRNAs cope with the degeneracy of the genetic code in two manners: having more than one tRNA (with a specific anti-codon) for a particular amino acid; and 'wobble' base-pairing, i.e. permitting non-standard base-pairing at the 3rd anti-codon position.
Source: Rfam by way of RNAcentral
UCCCUGGUGGUUCAGUGGCUAAGACUCUGUAGUCCCAAUGUAGGGGGCUCAGGUUCGAUCCCUGAUCAGGGAG